Nicotiana tabacum (common tobacco) is the source of this 278-nucleotide non-coding RNA. The record is from RefSeq and is a predicted model, not a curated record. NCBI's taxonomy places the organism in Eukaryota, Viridiplantae, Streptophyta, Magnoliopsida, Solanales, Solanaceae.
CCUAGAUUGGUUCAAGCUCUUGUGUAUGUCCAAGAUUGGCUUCGUAAUGAAUCAACAACUCUGGUUAAAAUUGAGGAAGAUUUAGAUAAUCUUGAACAACUUGAACUUUAAAUGGUCAAUACUGGAAAAGAGCCUUGCAUCGUUGACAUAUAGUAUUGAUGAAGAUUAUUGAACUAUAUUUUGCUGAAACAAAGGGGAGUAGUGGAUCUGGAAUUGGGAGGGAAAUGGAAGUUGAAACUCUUUAAUAUUUUUUUGCCUUCUUGAGUUCAUCCUUUAAA